GACGAACGCUGGCGGCGUGCUUAACACAUGCAAGUCGAGCGGAAAGGCCCUUCGGGGUACUCGAGCGGCGAACGGGUGAGUAACACGUGAGUAACCUGCCCCAGACUUUGGGAUAACCCUCGGAAACGGGGGCUAAUACCGGAUACGACACAGCUUCGCAUGGGGUCUGUGUGGAAAGUUUUUCGGUUUGGGAUGGGCUCGCGGCCUAUCAGCUUGUUGGUGGGGUGAUGGCCUACCAAGGCGACGACGGGUAGCCGGCCUGAGAGGGCGACCGGCCACACUGGGACUGAGACACGGCCCAGACUCCUACGGGAGGCAGCAGUGGGGAAUAUUGCACAAUGGGCGGACGCCUGAUGCAGCGACGCCGCGUGAGGGAUGACGGCCUUCGGGUUGUAAACCUCUUUCAGCAGGGACGAAGCGUAAGUGACGGUACCUGCAGAAGAAGCGCCGGCCAACUACGUG
This 462-nucleotide ribosomal RNA is filed under the name uncultured bacterium. RNAcentral describes it as "partial 16S ribosomal RNA". It matches the Rfam family "Bacterial small subunit ribosomal RNA", at positions 28 to 507 of the family's 1533-position model. The record is from RNAcentral.